GUAGGGAAUAUUGGACAAUGGGGGAAACCCUGAUCCAGCAAUGCCGCGUGGGUGAAGAAGGCCUGCGGGUUGUAAAGCCCUUUUGGUAGGGAAGAAAAGCCUGAGACUAAUACUUUCGGGUGUUGACGUAACCUACAGAAGAAGCACCGGCUAACUCUGUGCCAGCAGCCGCGGUAAUACAGAGGGUGCAAGCGUUAAUCGGAAUUACUGGGCGUAAAGCGUGCGUAGGUGGCUAUUUAAGUCGGAUGUGAAAUCCCUGGGCUCAACCUAGGAACUGCAUUCGAAACUGGGUAGCUAGAGUACAGUAGAGGAUAGCGGAAUUCCCGGUGUAGCAGUGAAAUGCGUAGAUAUCGGGAGGAACACCAGUGGCGAAGGCGGCUAUCUGGACUGAUACUGACACUAAGGCACGAAAGCGUGGGUAGCAAACAGGAUUAGAUACCCUUGUAGUCC
RNAcentral lists this ribosomal RNA (450 nucleotides) under uncultured bacterium. Its description in RNAcentral is "bacterial SSU rRNA". It matches the Rfam family "Bacterial small subunit ribosomal RNA", at positions 354 to 796 of the family's 1533-position model. The record is from RNAcentral.